GCCGUCAUACUACGUCAAAAAUACACCGGUUUCGAUUCGAUUUACGAAGUUAAGCAGCUUCGGGCGCCGUCAGUAGUUGGAUGGGUGACCUUCUGGGAAUACAG
Eumeta japonica is the source of this 104-nucleotide non-coding RNA. NCBI's taxonomy places the organism in Eukaryota, Metazoa, Arthropoda, Insecta, Lepidoptera, Psychidae. The record is from the annotation of a GenBank genome assembly.